AUUUAGGUAGCUUAAAGUAAAGCUUGACACUGAAGAUGUCAGGAUGAAUGCAAAUUCCCUAGAUG
Molecule: transfer RNA, 65 nt
Filed under: Lepisma saccharinum
Lineage: Eukaryota; Metazoa; Arthropoda; Insecta; Zygentoma; Lepismatidae
Also listed under: 1 other name
Description: Lepisma saccharina tRNA-Phe
Rfam family: tRNA
About the family: Transfer RNA (tRNA) molecules are approximately 80 nucleotides in length. Their secondary structure includes four short double-helical elements and three loops (D, anti-codon, and T loops).
Source: RNAcentral